Molecule: long non-coding RNA, 1394 nt
Organism: Puntigrus tetrazona (Sumatra barb)
Lineage: Eukaryota; Metazoa; Chordata; Actinopteri; Cypriniformes; Cyprinidae
Exons: 5
Source: RefSeq, a predicted model, not a curated record
UUUAUUUCGCUGGAAAUUAUAAUGGAUCGUUCUUUGGAAACGCUUCUCUUCAGUGAAUCGAUCAAACGGCUCGGUUCCCGGUUUGCAUCGUUUCGCGAUUCAGAGUGAUUCAACUCGGGCGGCUCGAAAAGAGUUUGACGCUACCGAGCGUGAUAGGAAACUUCGAGAAGGAUAAAGAAGCGCAUUGAACUUAUAUACAGUUUGCUUGAAAGCGAACCUACAAGUCCACGUUUUCGUUUCCCAGCGAUGAAGAUUCAUUGGGACCAACACGCGCACGUGCGUCCUCUAAUGCAGACAUGACAUCAUCAGACGUGACUCUGUCAGAAACGUGUGUGGAAACACAGUCCAGAUCUGUUCCUCACGCCUGGGUUUUUCAACCGUUCCGGUCGGCAAAGAAUGUCAGAUCAUCAGAGAAAAUACCACGGUAAUACUAGACAGCGCAGACGAGAUUGAGGGAAAAAGGUCAACAUGUGUUGGUUCAUCAGCAGCAUAACAGCGCAAUGUGCCAGAACACUGACACCACACGGAGAGAGAGGGAGAGAGAGACAGGCCUAAAUCAUCACCCUUUUCAUGAAAGAGACUGAACAGACUGUCGACGGGGAGAGGGCCACGUAAGAAGGUUUUCUCAGGCCAGGAGAGAGUUUCAGAUUAGAACAUCUGGAGUUUCAUGUUGAAACGGCAUCGUUCUCCCACCGAGACCCGAGUGAAACCAUUAGGCCAAUGAAGACAGAAGAGCAAGUUUGACUGCGCCGACGCACGCAGCUUUCCGGUACGCUCUUUAAUCACCGCUUAUCUGCAGGAGCACAGUUAAACACCUUCCUCUCCCUCCUGUUGAAAUCUACAUCACUCCCACAAGCCUCGGCCCUUCAUCUCUCUCUCCCUUUAAUGUAAUGUCAUUGUUUUCAGUUGUACUUUGUUUCCUCUCUCUUUUUCCCCAAGUUUGAGAAAACAGCCUGCGCCGCUGAUAUGUGUGCCAACUAUGACAAAAGCGCUGCUGAGGAAUGUUGCCGUGUGUCUAUAUGAUAGAAUGCUGGGUAAAUAUAGCUGUCGUUUUCAUACGGGUCUGUUUCUGCACCAUUGUUUUCGCUGACAGAAUGAAAACACAAGGCCCAAACAGAUGCAGAAGAAUACGGUACACCGUGCAUACAUUCAGUCAUCUAUUUUCUCUUUUUGUGUGUUCUGUCUAGCGUUUUAUUGACCGUUACAAUUAUAUAGUUCGAAAAGGCUUUGCGGCAAUUAUAGUGAGAAGAAUUAUUUUUAGCUACUUUUAAUCAAAAAGCGCAUUUUAAAGGGAGUUUGUGCACAUGUAUUAAAUAUAUAUUAUAAAAAAUAUAUUCAGAUGUUCGUUUUUUUUUUCUUUAUCUUCUUAACUGCUAUUAGGUGUAAAAAAUUAA